AGGACGAACGCUGGCGGCGUGCUUAACACAUGCAAGUCGAGCGGUAAGGCCUUUCGGGGUACACGAGCGGCGAACGGGUGAGUAACACGUGGGUGAUCUGCCCUGCACUUCGGGAUAAGCCUGGGAAACUGGGUCUAAUACCGGAUAUGACCACAGGUUGCAUGACUUGGGGUGGAAAGUAUUUAGUCGGUGCAGGAUGGGCCCGCGGUCCUAUCGAGUCUUGGUUGGGUGGGGUAAUCGGCCUACCGAAGGCGACGGACGGGUACGCCGACCUGGAGGAGGGUCGACCGGCCACGACGUGGACUGAGACACGGCCCAGACUCCGUACGGAGGC
Molecule: ribosomal RNA, 334 nt
Filed under: uncultured soil bacterium
Lineage: Bacteria
Description: bacterial SSU rRNA
Rfam family: Bacterial small subunit ribosomal RNA
Source: RNAcentral